UACGUAGGGUGCAAGCGUUAAUCGGAAUUACUGGGCGUAAAGCGUGCGCAGGCGGUUAUGCAAGACAGAUGUGAAAUCCCCGGGCUCAACCUGGGAACUGCAUUUGUGACUGCAUAGCUAGAGUACGGUAGAGGGGGAUGGAGUUCCGCGUGUAGCAGUGAAAUGCGUAGAUAUGCGGAGGAACACCGAUGGCGAAGGCAAUCCCCUGGACCUGUACUGACGCUCAUGCACGAAAGCGUGGGGAGCAAACAGG
This 253-nucleotide ribosomal RNA is filed under the name uncultured bacterium. RNAcentral describes it as "partial 16S ribosomal RNA". It matches the Rfam family "Bacterial small subunit ribosomal RNA", at positions 524 to 776 of the family's 1533-position model. The record is from RNAcentral.